CAAUGAGUGAAAGUCACAGCAACGUUCCCAUGGAGUUUUUUUCAGCGGCUGGCUGGAUGACUCCUGUUGGACACACAGCUCAUUGACAACUCUUCCGUGGAAAAGUUUUUAAAGUUGCAACGUGUAAUGUUGUGACUUACUGUGGCGGGUCCCGAAAAGCGGACGAAACUUUUUGUCCGAGGGGUGGCCUCAGCCGCAGAUGUUAUCUUUGUUUCAGCCCGUUAACAGCCAAGGACUUCAAGGACCUCAACGAAGAUAAGACGACAGCACGCAGACAAAGCAGAGACAAGGCGAAAUCACAAUGCCCCGCACAUUCAGUCACGUAUUGUGGGUCCUGAACCUGCUUUGCAUAAUAUAUGUGACAACUCCUUUUAGAGGCGGCCUCAGUGAUGUUGACUAUAGAACUCCUGAAUAAAUAGAGGGACGCGGGACUGUGACUAAGUGUGCAGCUCCAUGCGUUCUCCUCAUGAGCUAUAUUGAACUGUGUUUUUACAUGGUUCCUUGCUUCUUGUCUGUUUAAUACAGGUCAUCAGUGUUUGAACCCGACAGUUAUUUAGUCAAGUAUGAUGUGUCCUUGGCCUUUGAACCAACCUUUUCUUUGAACUGUUUUGUAAUCAAAGGCAAUGGUUGUUUACAACCCCCAUCCCUUAGAAAGAGCUGUUGCCAUGUAAUCAGGGAAAGUCCAAAUAAAAGAGGAGGUGUACAAUCUUUCGUCAGGGGCGUGGGACGACACUGUACAUGGGUACAGUGUCUACGCGUCUCUCCUCGAUUGAGCCAAAUUUAAUUCUGUCUCUGUUUAAUUCCUUGCUUCUUUGUCUGUGUUUGAACCUGACAUCUUCUCUUAAUCUUUUUGUAAGUGUUUUUCACUUUUCUUUAAAAGCCUAACCAGGGAAGAGGGUUGCAAAUCAGCCUGUAGCUAGAAGUCUUAUGUACUUUGACAUCGGUUACCGAUGGGUAGAAAUUUUAAUUGUACGGUCCCUGUCAAAUAAAUAGAAAAAUAAAACAGUGAUGUUCAAUA
Molecule: long non-coding RNA, 1018 nt
Organism: Nerophis ophidion (straightnose pipefish)
Lineage: Eukaryota; Metazoa; Chordata; Actinopteri; Syngnathiformes; Syngnathidae
Exons: 2
Source: RefSeq, a predicted model, not a curated record